CCUACGGGCGGCAGCAGUGGGGAAUAUUGGACAAUGGGGGCAACCCUGAUCCAGCCAUGCCGCGUGUGUGAAGAAGGCCCUCGGGUUUUAAAGCACUUUCAGUGAGGAAGAACGCCUGGUGGUUAAUACCCAUCAGGAAAGACAUCACUCACAGAAGAAGCACCGGCUAACUCCGUGCCAGCAGCCGCGGUAAUACGGAGGGUGCGAGCGUUAAUCGGAAUUACUGGGCGUAAAGCGCGCGUAGGUGGCUUGAUAAGCCGGUUGUGAAAGCCCCGGGCUCAACCUGGGAACGGCAUCCGGAACUGUCAAGCUAGAGUGCAGGAGAGGAAGGUAGAAUUCCCGGUGUAGCGGUGAAAUGCGUAGAGAUCGGGAGGAAUACCAGUGGCGAAGGCGGCCUUCUGGACUGACACUGACACUGAGGUGCGAAAGCGUGGGUAGCAAACAGGAUUAGAUACCCUGGUAGUC
RNAcentral lists this ribosomal RNA (465 nucleotides) under Vreelandella stevensii. RNAcentral's name for it is "partial 16S ribosomal RNA". It matches the Rfam family "Bacterial small subunit ribosomal RNA", at positions 338 to 795 of the family's 1533-position model. Lineage: Bacteria; Pseudomonadati; Pseudomonadota; Gammaproteobacteria; Oceanospirillales; Halomonadaceae. The record is from RNAcentral.